ACGUAGUCACGCUUUCAAACAUUGCUUUAAGACCCAAAAGGAGGGACUGGAAGUGCUUGGAAACUCUGGUUGAUGUCCUGAAAUUGCUUUCUCUUAGUGGAGGUAUUUGUUGUUAGCACUGGCUGGUUGGAAGAGCAGACCAUCCACCGCAUGUACAAAAACAAAAUUUCUUCUAUGUAAGGUGAAAGAAGUCUUAGUAACCCUAAUUUUCUGUCACUUCACAACCACAAACCAGGCACUCCUAUUUUAAGGCCAGAUUGUAACAGUGCCAGCCAUCCAAUCACCCAAUUUGGUGCAUCUGGAAGUACAUCCUGAAAACCGCACCACCUAGAAUGCCAGAACUGUAAAAGAAGCAAAUCUUAGGCAACUUCUUACAUAAAAGCUAAAGAAAUGAAAAUUAGUUAUCAAGACCUGCUGUUCUUGUAGCAAUAAAAUGUGCUGGAGGACAGAAGCUCCAGGAUUCCUUGGAGCCCCAACGUAGCGCAGUAGAAAUAACCACAAGUACAUAUAUGAAUAUAGGUAGUACAGGGGGAAAUUGUUACAUGUAGUGAAGUCUUCAGUAUUUUUCAGGUUUUAAAAAUGUUGUUUAAUUUCUACACCCUAUAUUUUUGUAUUUUGUUGUUGCAGCCCUGCACAAUAAGUGACCUAUGUCUUCGCACGCCUGUCAUUCCACCUUUUUUCCUCAGUGAUGUGGAUUACAGCCAAGAUAGCAAGUUGGUUUUUUUUUUCCUGCCUCAGUAUCAGGUGGAAAAACUAGAGGUGGGAAAGAGGUCAGAAAAUGGUGACAGAUAUUCUGACAUGACUGGGGAAACUGUUUCACAAGGAAAGAUUAAAAAGACUAAGAAAGUAUGUCUUGGUUAAGUGCGAAGGACAAACAGGAUUGGACUUCUUGUUUCUUGUAAUAAUCUCUGCUGCUGAGUGGAGCUAUCUGGUACAAAUUUUGGUCUAACCCACUGUUAGAAGCAAAGAGAAAACUUGUGGUGAAAAUCUUGGGCCAUUGCUGCGAUGUGUAGAGUAACAAGGAAAUUACAAACACCCCUAUGGUGUUGAAUGAAGAGGCCCAAGCAUUACAGGAGAUGUAAUUCCUAAUGUUUUACUCUGUGAGGCUCAAAUCCUACGGUGCCCACCAGUAAUAAGCAGUAACCACUCAGUCAGGUCUGCUGUGUGAUGAUAAAGACCCUUUCCACGAUUCGUCUCUGAAUCACAUUGUGUCGGAAGGGACACUGCGAGGGGAAGGUCAUUAAACUGCAUAGACAACAAGCUCUCUCAGCAUGGCAAUUACAGCCCUCAUUUCCUACAAUACACACCUUAUUGAACAUGUCUCGCUCGUGGUAGCCUAUUUGUCUUGGAAGUAUGUCAAAAUCUUCAGAUUAAGUCCUUUAAUAGGUUCCAAUAAAUGACAGCUCUGAAUCUUCUUCCCUCAGACUGAAUUAACAAGUUACAUCUCUGGGAGCACAAUUCUCUCUGCGAGCAUUAUCCCAGAGCAUUUGUCAGAAAAUCUGUUGCCAAACCUCAUUUCAAAUGACUGUCAUUGUCUCGCAUCACUCUGGUCUGAAUGUUUUCUGUGUUGAAAUCGUGGUCUGAGGAAUGCUGGAGAUGUAACCAGACUACAGAAUCUUUCCAAACCAGACAAAGCAGCAUUUACAUCCAUACAUUACAUUUACAGUUUAUCAUUAGGAACUGUGGCUGAAGAGCAGCAGAGGUACAAGCUGGCAUUCUGUGUGUACAGAUCUGUAGUUAAGCCUUGGCUAAUGAAACAGCGCACAAAACUUUUACUUAUGUGUGCACCACGGCCAACAUCAGGAAAAAAUCCAAACCAAAAGUGCAAAAAGGAUGGUGCAAUCCUAACUUUUUUUCCCCUAAGAUUUUAAAUAUGUUAAUUUAUUAAUUUUUUUUUUUUUUGCUAAAAUUUUACAUAUCAACAAUACUGGAAUAAAGCUCAGUUGAAGCAGUUACUGUGUAUUCUUCAUUACAGAAAUAGCAGCAGCAAAUUCAUAGAAUCAUAGAAUGGUUUGGUUCAGAAGGGACCUUAAAGGUCAUCCAGUUCCAGAUCCCUGCCAUGGGCAGGGACACCUUCCAGUAGACCAGGUUGUUGAGAGCUCUAUCCAACCUGGCCUUGAACACUUCCAGGGAUGGGGCAUCCACAUCUUCUCUGGGUAACCUGUGCUAGUGCCUCACUAUCCUCGCAGUAGAGAAUGUCUUCCCAAUAUGCCAUCUAAACCUGCCCUUUGUCAGUUGGAAGCCACUCUCCCUUGUCCUAUCACCACACACCCUUAUGAAAAGUCCCUCUCCAGCUUUCUUCUUCUUGGUCUGCCUUUUUAACAGAGAACAAAUAAAAACAAAUCUUUCCUUUGGUUUCUCUUUGCAGUUGUACAGUUCCUGUGUUCUGGUGUGUUCUAGAGUUAAAAUGAAUUUGUGGAUCCCAGCAACAAAGUGACCAACAUCUGCCCCCAACAGAAACAAUUAUUGCAAGUGAAAUCCAUGAAUUUUUUUCGAUGCAAUGAGUUUGGAUGUUUGGAGUGGAUCUGUGGAAAUUAUUGAAAGAACGUGGAGUCAGAGAUAUAAGCUUUACUUUUAAAUUCAAAAGCAGUGUGAAGAUUCACAACUCUAGGAAGAGCCAAAAUAGGACGUGUGUGUCCAUUGCUACUCAAAACCAGACCCUAGGUUUUACCACUACUGUUGAUAGCAAUAAAAGAAACAUACCUAUGUCUGAGAAGACAAGUGUGAAUCCUACAUACAUGUGUGAAUUUCUAAUGAGGCUCUUUUUGCCUUUAGAAGAAAAUGUUUCUGUUUAUCUUUAAUAGAAAUCCAUUGUGUGUAGCUAUGUAAUGGAAUCUCUCAUUUUUUAUUUGCAUCUGUUAGCUUUUUAUUGCAAAUAGGGCUCUAAAUCUUACUUUAGAAAUGAGUAUUGCACUGUAUGUCAGUGCAUGUGCAAAGGAAGCCAUUAAUAAUGUUCGUUAUGAAAACCGGAUCCUAAGUGUUUUUAGUCCAUUAGCCAUUCAUUUUUAUUUAUGUCUUCUUUCAAGAAGAAUUUGAAGCCAGAAUGCAAAAGAUGAAGUUUGGAAAAGGAGCCACACAUGAGGUCAUAAAAAGCUGUCACUUUCAAGAUGCUAGAAAAUUCUUUUUUUUCUGUAACCUUUACAAAGACAAAUGAGUAUACAUCAUUUACUGCUUUGCCAUCAUUAAAUUACAGUGCUUUUAGGAAACAAAACUCUGGCAAAGCAAGCCAAAGUAAUCUGCUAAUUUCACAAAAUUAGAAUAUAUCACACUUCCUUGGCCUGUUUAAAUGUACUGCAGGAAGCAGCUCUCUCAGAGUCUUAGUCUCUUCCCCUCAAGGCUUAUAUGAUGUAACUUUAUUCUGGACUAUUUGUCCUAACUGCCAAAGUGUGUAGCUUUCUGAUCUCUUUUAGGAUAGAAAACUUUUAAAAUUGAAUACUGGAAAAUGGGUAGCCAGCUUGCCAUCUUUAUGGACUUACUCCCACUGACCUGCAUUUUUUCAUAUGUAUUACUGGAAAAAAUUAGGCCCUAGCUAUAAAGUGUCCUGUGAUCCUAUUUUCAGCAGACACCCCCAGGAACAAAAUUCUGUUCUCAAAAGAUCCUCAUGAGCUAAGCGAAAGCACAAUCAUAUUGAAAAAGGGAAAGACUUUUUCUCUCUUAAAUAACCAUUAAAUUUCUCUUGCAUUUUCUUUCUCUCUAAAAUACUGUGGCAAUUGCAUGAUUUAUAAAUAUAAAACUGUAGUUUCUAUUUUAUCUGAAAGUGAAAUCACCUUGUACCUUUGAGACUGGAAAAAAAUAAAAAAGGUUUCUUAUGACUUCCUUGGAAUAUAGUUGCUGUCAGCUCCAGAGAUUUCUCAUGUAUGUUUACUGUUUUAAUGUAUCCCUGAAGCUAUGACUUGAUCCUGUUGCAUUUAGAAGUUGUGUUUGGGAUUUGAAAUGUCAGCAGAGGAGCUGCUCUCAAUGCAUCACCACUGCCAUAGGUAGCAGUGGCUGUGGCAGCCACUUCCAGGGACUGCUGCUGUUCAUAUUUCACCAAAGCCUCCAGAAAAGAGGCUGUGUGAGAAAUAGGGCAGCGUA
Molecule: long non-coding RNA, 4074 nt
Organism: Passer domesticus (house sparrow)
Lineage: Eukaryota; Metazoa; Chordata; Aves; Passeriformes; Passeridae
Exons: 3
Source: RefSeq, a predicted model, not a curated record